GGGGAAUUGUUCACAAUGGGCGCAAGCCUGAUGACGCAACGCCGCGUGGGGGAUGAAGGCCUUCGGGUCGUAAACCCCUGUCGAAUGGGACGAAUAGCCCGCGAUUUAACAGAACGCGGGAUUGACGGUACCGUUAAAGGAAGCCACGGCUAACUCUGUGCCAGCAGCCGCGGUAAUACAGAGGUGGCAAGCGUUGUUCGGAAUUACUGGGCGUAAAGCGCGCGUAGGCGGCUUUGUAAGUUAGAGGUGAAAGCCCGGAGCUCAACUCCGGAACUGCCUUUAAGACUGCAUCGCUAGAAUUGUGGAGAGGUAAGUGGAAUUCCGAGUGUAGAGGUGAAAUUCGUAGAUAUUCGGAAGAACACCAGUGGCGAAGGCGACUUACUGGACACAUAUUGACGCUGAGGUGCGAAAGCGUGGGGAGCAAA
Molecule: ribosomal RNA, 425 nt
Filed under: uncultured bacterium
Lineage: Bacteria
Description: bacterial SSU rRNA
Rfam family: Bacterial small subunit ribosomal RNA
Source: RNAcentral